RNAcentral lists this long non-coding RNA (486 nucleotides) under Vigna radiata. RNAcentral describes it as "long non-coding RNA (VRAD_LNC002897)". The record is from RNAcentral. Lineage: Eukaryota; Viridiplantae; Streptophyta; Magnoliopsida; Fabales; Fabaceae.
GAUAGUGGAAAAAGAGAUAGAGAUAAAUGAGGAGAAGAUAGGGGAAAAAAUGGAGAGAAAUAAGGAAAAGAUAGAGGAGGAAAAGAUAAAGAUAUAUGAGGAGAAAAUAAAGGAGAAAAACAUGGAGAGAAAGGAGGAGAAGAUAGAGGAGAAAAAAUUGGAGAAAAAGGAGGAGACGAUUGAGGAAGAAAUGAUAGAAAGAGAUUGAAAGGAAGAAGAAACAGAAAAGUUUGUUAAGGAAGAUAAUGAUGAUGAGGGAGAAAAAGCAGUGGUUGAGAGAAGAAAAAAGAGAAAAAUUGUGAAAAUAAAGAAAGAAAGAAAAAUGAAAAAGAGAAAGUUGAGGGAGAAAAGUGAGAAAAAGAGGAAGAGAGGAAAGAAGAAAAUAUCAUAUGAAAAACCUCUUCCUCAUCAAAAGAAAUAUCAUAGGAAAGAAAAGAAGUUUAAGUGCUUUAUGGAGAUCUUCAAUAAAUCGGAGAUUAAAGUUCC